Non-coding RNA from Oryza nivara, 78 nucleotides. NCBI's taxonomy places the organism in Eukaryota, Viridiplantae, Streptophyta, Magnoliopsida, Poales, Poaceae. The record is from Rfam.
AGCUCAGUGAUUGCAGCCGUUUUCAUUGGCAAUAUACGCUAUGCUGACUGUUUGAUGACAAAUAAGAAUAUGAGAGCU